Molecule: ribosomal RNA, 263 nt
Filed under: uncultured bacterium
Lineage: Bacteria
Description: partial 16S ribosomal RNA
Rfam family: Bacterial small subunit ribosomal RNA
Source: RNAcentral
GUCCAUGCCUUAAACGAUGCAUACUAGGUGUAGAAGGGCUCAACCCCUCUGUACCAAAGCUAACGCAUUAAGUAUGCCGCCUGGGGAGUACGCUCGCAAGGGUGAAACUCAAAAGAAUUGACGGGGCCCGCACAAGCAGUGGAGCAUGUGGUUUAAUUCGACGCAAACGCGAAGAACCUUACCUGGGCUCGAAAAUGUAGAGGACGACAUCAGAGAUGGUGUUUCUCGAAAGGGUCUCUAUAUAGGUGCUGCAUGGCUGUCGU